Molecule: long non-coding RNA, 231 nt
Filed under: Brassica napus (rape)
Lineage: Eukaryota; Viridiplantae; Streptophyta; Magnoliopsida; Brassicales; Brassicaceae
Description: long non-coding RNA (BNAP_LNC009598)
Source: RNAcentral
CAUAUCAAUAGAUAAAUAGAAACUCAUAGAAUAGAUGAAAAGAAAUAAAAACAAGGAGUUCCAAUCACAAGUGAUCUUCUCUCCCAAAUGAAACUUGUAACAAAACUAGGUCUAGAAAAAGCUAUGUUCUUCUGCCGUUAAAAACACUAGGCAUUUUGGUAAUUUGGCUUGGCCUUGGUUUUUAAGUCUGCUGAAUCCAAAAUGUCGCAUCUGGUGUCUCGACAUCGAUCG